RNAcentral lists this ribosomal RNA (460 nucleotides) under uncultured bacterium. RNAcentral describes it as "partial 16S ribosomal RNA". It matches the Rfam family "Bacterial small subunit ribosomal RNA", at positions 338 to 795 of the family's 1533-position model. The record is from RNAcentral.
CCUACGGGAGGCAGCAGUGAGGAAUAUUGGUCAAUGGGCGCGAGCCUGAACCAGCCAAGUAGCGUGAAGGAUGACUGCCCUACGGGUUGUAAACUUCUUUUAUAAAGGAAUAAAGUGAGGCACGUGUGCCUUUUUGUAUGUACUUUAUGAAUAAGGAUCGGCGAACUCCGUGCCAGCAGCCGCGGUAAUACGGAGGAUCCGUGCGUUAUCCGGAUUUAGUGGGGUUAAAGGGAGCGUAGAUGGGUUGUUAAGUCAGUUGUGAAAGUUUGCGGCUCAACCGUAAAAUUGCAAUUGAUAAUGGCAUUCUUGAGUACAGUUGAGGUAGGCGGAAUUCGUGGUGUAGCGGUGAAAUGCUUAGAUAUCACGAAGAACCCCGAUUGUGAAGGCAGCUUACUAAACUGUGACUGACAUUGAUGCUCGAAAGUGUGGGUAUCAAACAGGAUUAGAUACCCUGGUAGUC